CGCUGGCGGCGUGCCUAAUACAUGCAAGUCGAGCGAACGGACGAGAAGCUUGCUUCUCUGAUGUUAGCGGCGGACGGGUGAGUAACACGUGGAUAACCUACCUAUAAGACUGGGAUAACUUCGGGAAACCGGAGCUAAUACCGGAUAAUAUUUUGAACCGCAUGGUUCAAAAGUGAAAGACGGUCUUGCUGUCACUUAUAGAUGGAUCCGCGCUGCAUUAGCUAGUUGGUAAGGUAACGGCUUACCAAGGCAACGAUGCAUAGCCGACCUGAGAGGGUGAUCGGCCACACUGGAACUGAGACACGGUCCAGACUCCUACGGGAGGCAGCAGUAGGGAAUCUUCCGCAAUGGGCGAAAGCCUGACGGAGCAACGCCGCGUGAGUGAUGAAGGUCUUCGGAUCGUAAAACUCUGUUAUUAGGGAAGAACAUAUGUGUAAGUAACUGUGCACAUCUUGACGGUACCUAAUCAGAAAGCCACGGCUAACUACGUGCCAGCAGCCGCGGUAAUGCGUAGGUGGCAAGCGUUAUCCGGAAUUAUUGGGCGUAAAGCGCGCGUAGGCGGUUUUUUAAGUCUGAUGUGAAAGCCCACGGCUCAACCGUGGAGGGUCAUUGGAAACUGGAAAACUUGAGUGCAGAAGAGGAAAGUGGAAUUCCAUGUGUAGCGGUGAAAUGCGCAGAGAUAUGGAGGAACACCAGUGGCGAAGGCGACUUUCUGGUCUGUAACUGACGCUGAUGUGCGAAAGCGUGGGGAUCAAACAGGAUUAGAUACCCUGGUAGUCCACGCCGUAAACGAUGAGUGCUAAGUGUUAGGGGGUUUCCGCCCCUUAGUGCUGCAGCUAACGCAUUAAGCACUCCGCCUGGGGAGUACGACCGCAAGGUUGAAACUCAAAGGAAUUGACGGGGACCCGCACAAGCGGUGGAGCAUGUGGUUUAAUUCGAAGCAACGCGAAGAACCUUACCAAAUCUUGACAUCCUUUGACAACUCUAGAGAUAGAGCUUUCCCCUUCGGGGGACAAAGUGACAGGUGGUGCAUGGUUGUCGUCAGCUCGUGUCGUGAGAUGUUGGGUUAAGUCCCGCAACGAGCGCAACCCUUAAGCUUAGUUGCCAUCAUUAAGUUGGGCACUCUAAGUUGACUGCCGGUGACAAACCGGAGGAAGGUGGGGAUGACGUCAAAUCAUCAUGCCCCUUAUGAUUUGGGCUACACACGUGCUACAAUGGACAAUACAAAGGGCAGCGAAACCGCGAGGUCAAGCAAAUCCCAUAAAGUUGUUCUCAGUUCGGAUUGUAGUCUGCAACUCGACUACAUGAAGCUGGAAUCGCUAGUAAUCGUAGAUCAGCAUGCUACGGUGAAUACGUUCCCGGGUCUUGUACACACCGCCCGUCACACCACGAGAGUUUGUAACACCCGAAGCCGGUGGAGUAACCUUUUAGGAGCUAGCCGUCGAAGGUGGGACAAAAA
This 1459-nucleotide ribosomal RNA is filed under the name uncultured organism. RNAcentral describes it as "SSU rRNA". It matches the Rfam family "Bacterial small subunit ribosomal RNA". The record is from RNAcentral.